UAAUUUAUAUGUAAUUAGUUAAAUUU
Molecule: transfer RNA, 26 nt
Filed under: Rosa persica
Lineage: Eukaryota; Viridiplantae; Streptophyta; Magnoliopsida; Rosales; Rosaceae
Also listed under: 6 other names
Description: partial tRNA-Val
Source: RNAcentral